RNAcentral lists this ribosomal RNA (1218 nucleotides) under Neisseria perflava. Its description in RNAcentral is "bacterial SSU rRNA". It matches the Rfam family "Bacterial small subunit ribosomal RNA", at positions 31 to 1273 of the family's 1533-position model. Lineage: Bacteria; Pseudomonadati; Pseudomonadota; Betaproteobacteria; Neisseriales; Neisseriaceae. The record is from RNAcentral.
GGAAGUGGCGGCAUGCUUUAACAUGCAGUCGGACGGCAGCACAGAGAAGCUUGCUUCUUGGGUGGCGAGUGGCGAACGGGUGAGUAAUAUAUCGGAACGUACCGAGUAAUGGGGGAUAACUAAUCGAAAGAUUAGCUAAUACCGCAUAUUCUCUGAGGAGGAAAGCAGGGGACCUUCGGGCCUUGCGUUAUUCGAGCGGCCGAUAUCUGAUUAGCUAGUUGGUGGGGUAAAGGCCUACCAAGGCGACGAUCAGUAGCGGGUCUGAGAGGAUGAUCCGCCACACUGGGACUGAGACACGGCCCAGACUCCUACGGGAGGCAGCAGUGGGGAAUUUUGGACAAUGGGCGCAAGCCUGAUCCAGCCAUGCCGCGUGUCUGAAGAAGGCCUUCGGGUUGUAAAGGACUUUUGUCAGGGAAGAAAAGGCUGUUGCUAAUACCGACAGCUGAUGACGGUACCUGAAGAAUAAGCACCGGCUAACUACGUGCCAGCAGCCGCGGUAAUACGUAGGGUGCGAGCGUUAAUCGGAAUUACUGGGCGUAAAGCGAGCGCAAACGGUUACUUAAGCAGGAUGUGAAAUCCCCGGGCUCAACCUGGGAACUGCGUUCUGAACUGGGUGACUAGAGUGUGUCAAAGGGAGGUAGAAUUCCACGUGUAGCAGUGAAAUGCGUAGAGAUGUGGAGGAAUACCGAUGGCGAAGGCAGCCUCCUGGGAUAACACUGACGUUCAUGCUCGAAAGCGUGGGUAGCAAACAGGAUUAGAUACCCUGGUAGUCCACGCCCUAAACGAUGUCAAUUAGCUGUUGGGCAACUUGAUUGCUUAGUAGCGUAGCUAACGCGUGAAAUUGACCGCCUGGGGAGUACGGUCGCAAGAUUAAAACUCAAAGGAAUUGACGGGGACCCGCACAAGCGGUGGAUGAUGUGAUUAUUUCGAUGCAACGCGAAGAACCUUACCUGGUCUUGACAUGUACGGAAUCCUCCAGAGACGGAGGAGUGCCUUCGGACGUACACAGGUGCUGCAUGCUGUCGUCAGCUCGUGUCGUGAGAUGUGGGUAGUCCCGCAACGAGCGCAUCCUUGUCAUAGUGCAUCAUUAGUUGACACUCUAUGAACUGCGUGACAGCGAGAGUGGGAUGACGUCAGUCUCAUGCCUAUGACAGGCUCACGUCUACAUGUCGUACAGGUCACUAGUCGAGGUGACUAUUCCAAAACCGAAUUCGUAUC